Molecule: non-coding RNA, 3337 nt
Organism: Castor canadensis (American beaver)
Lineage: Eukaryota; Metazoa; Chordata; Mammalia; Rodentia; Castoridae
Source: RefSeq, a predicted model, not a curated record
AGAAUGGCUCGGUUAUGUUUUGCUGUCUAUGCGGUUUUGGAUAAAGUAAAAACGAAGAAAUCAACUAAAGCUAUUAAUCCCUCUAAAUACCAGACCAUCCGGAAAGCUGGAAAAGUGCAUUAUCCUGUAGCAUGGGUGAACACGAUGGUCUUUGACUUUAAAGGACAGUUGAGGUCUGGAGACGUGAUACUGCACAGCUGGUCUUCAUUUCCUGAUGAGCUUGAAGAAAUGUUGAAUCCAAUGGGAACUGUUCAGAGGAAUCCUUACACUGAAAAUGCAACUGCUUUGCACAUUAAAUUUCCAGAGAAUAAAAAGCAUCCCUAUUAUUACCCGCCUUUUGAUAAGAUUAUUGAAAAGGCAGCUGAGAUUGCAAGCAAUGAUAGUGCUAAUGUGUCAAGUCGAGGAGGAAAAAAGUUUCUUGCGGUACUGAAAGAAAUCUUGGAUAGGGAUCCCCUGUCUCAGCUGUGUGAGAAUGAAAUGGAUCUUAUUUGGACUUUGCGACAAGACUGCAGAGAGAAUUUCCCACAGUCACUGCCAAAAUUACUCCUUUCAAUCAAGUGGAAUAAACUUGAAGAUGUGGCUCAGCUUCAGGCGCUACUUCAAAUUUGGCCUAAACUGCGCCCCCCCCCACACCGGAAGCUCUGGAACUUCUAGAUUUCAACUAUCCAGACCAGUAUGUCCGGGAGUACGCUGUGAGCUGCCUGCGACAGAUGAGUGAUGAAGAACUGUCUCAGUAUCUUCUACAACUGGUGCAAGUUUUAAAAUAUGAGCCUUUUCUUGAUUGUGCGCUCUCUAGAUUCCUACUAGAAAGAGCACUUGCUAAUCGGAGGAUAGGGCAGUUUCUGUUUUGGCAUCUUAGGUCAGAGGUGCACAUUCCUGCUGUGUCAGUACAAUUUGGUGUCAUCCUUGAAGCGUACUGUCGAGGAAGCGUGGAACACAUGAAAGUGCUUUCUAAACAGGUUGAAGCACUCAACAAGUUAAAAACUUUAAAUAGUUAAAUCAAACUGAAUGCAAUGAAGCUAAACAGAGCUAAAGGAAAGGAGGCCAUGCACACUUGUUUAAUGCAUACCGGGAAGCCCUCUCUGACCUGCAGUCACCUCUGAAUCCAUGUGUCAUCCUCUCAGAACUCUAUGUGGAAAAGUGCAAAUACAUGGACUCCAAAAUGAAGCCGUUGUGGUUGGUGUACAGCAACAAGGUGUUUGGUGAGGAUUCGGUCGGAGUGAUUUUUAAAAACGGUGAUGAUUUGCGACAGGAUAUGUUAACACUCCAAAUGUUGCGCUUGAUGGAUUUGCUCUGGAAAGAAGCUGGUCUGGAUCUUCGGAUGCUGCCUUAUGGCUGUUUAGCAACAGGAGAUCGCUCUGGCCUCAUUGAGGUUGUGAGCACCUCUGAGACGAUUGCUGACAUUCAGCUGAACAGUAGCAAUGUGGCUGCUGCAGCAGCCUUCAACAAAGACGCCCUUCUCAACUGGCUUAAGGAAUACAAUUCUGGGGAUGACCUGGAUCGAGCAAUUGAGGAGUUCACCCUGUCCUGUGCUGGCUACUGUGUAGCUUCUUAUGUCCUCGGGAUUGGUGACAGACAUAGUGACAACAUCAUGGUAAAAAAAACUGGCCAGCUCUUCCACAUCGACUUUGGACAUAUUCUUGGAAAUUUCAAAUCUAAAUUUGGUAUUAAAAGGGAGCGAGUGCCUUUUAUUCUUACUUAUGACUUUAUUCAUGUCAUUCAACAAGGAAAAACAGGAAACACAGAAAAAUUUGGCCAGUUCCGCCAGUGUUGUGAAGAUGCAUACCUGAUUUUACGACGGCACGGGAAUCUCUUCAUCACUCUCUUUGCACUGAUGUUGACUGCAGGACUCCCCGAGCUCACAUCAGUCAAGGAUAUACAGUGUCUUAAGGAUUCUCUUGCUUUAGGGAAAAGUGAAGAAGAAGCACUCAAACAAUUUAAGCAAAAAUUUGAUGAGACACUCAGGGAAAGCUGGACUACUAAAGUGAACUGGAUGGCCCACACAGUCCGGAAAGACUACAGAUCUUAACGACCAGCCUUUGCUCCUAAUGUUCCCCUUAGUUUUGUUUUGUUUUCAUUUUGCACUUGCACUAAAUUGAACAAGACCCUGCCAGAGAUGUUAUAAAGGGAAUGAAAUCCUUUAUAUGAACUCAGAGAUAAAUAAGAACAAGGCACCCCACAGAAACUAAUGUGAACAAUCCCUGACAACUACACUAUGCUUUUUGAAUGCUUCCAAGACUCAUCAUGAAUCCUGUCAGCAUUAUGGAUAAUCAUUUCCUGCUGACUUUGCACGCCAAGGAAUAAAUGCUACUAGGGAUUGUUUGAUGUCUCUUUUUUGUUUUUUAAAGUGUUUGGUACUUUAUGAGAAAGGUGUAAAUACUUAUUUUCAGCGUUGUGACCAGGUGUUACCAUUCAGCCAACAACUUGUCCACACCUGGGGACUGUUCUUAUUUUCCAAAUGAAGCAUCAAAGAAAGUUAUCUUCCUUCCCUUUUAAAAUUGUAUAAAGUACAAAUUAUAAUCUGAAUCUAAGAUUAUUUUUCAAAAGAAAUCUUUUAAUCCUAUGGAAACUCAUUAAUUUUGUUAAUAUUUAUCUACCCUGGUAGUAUCAUUCCAACCAGACUUGCUGAAAAUCUGUUGGUGAGAUGAACAUAAUAUAUAUAUAUAUAAAACAUGCUGCAUUUAUAUUUAUAAAAUUUCUAGUGGGAGUUCUAUAUAAAAAGAUGUUUCUUUGGUAUUCUCUAGCCUGUAUUUAAAGUUUUACAAAAAGCGGAGCUUUUUCCUAAGUUACCUUUCAGUUGGUUAACUGCGAUCCAGUUCUUCCAGCUGCUUCUGUAAUGAGGCACAUAUUAAUACACUUUUUAUAUGGUAUCUGUGAAAGAAUUCACUUCAUAGUACAUAAUACUUGAGCAGAUGUAUCGAUGAAAGCAAGCAAAUGAAAAGGAACUAUUUAUGGAAUAAACUCCAGACCUAAAAUUCAGUAUUUUAGUAAAAUGCCAGCUAUUCUUACUGUAUUUAUUAAAACUUGUAAUAAUGUGAUUUUUCAAUGAUACUAGUUCACACUGAAAUGGUUUCAUGCCACAUGGAAGUCUUCAGUUUAUUUCUUGAGGUACCACACAUUUAGGGUGCUGGGUGGUGAAUAAUGUUAAUAUGUGCAAUAGGAACUACUGGCUUGAUGUGCAGGUGAAGUAGACACUCUGAGUACUGGCACGAUCCAGCAGAACCACUGCUUAUUCUCCAAAGGAUAUUGGGGGCUCUCAGUCCUCAAUGAAUGGGAAAGACAGCUGAGUUCUUGCCCUGUGACUGAGUUUUCUAUAGGAAUUUUAUUAAAGGUUGUU